UUUCUAACAAAGACAUUCUUUUACACACCACAGUACAAUCAGAAAAUUUAGCCUUGAUGUUACUACUCUACUCCAAUCUUGACAACUGUUUCAAUACCAUCCUUUAUAGUUACUUUUUUCACAGUCCAGGAUCACACAUUAAAUUGUCUCCUGAAUCAGGAAGAGUUCCCCAGACUUUGCCUUUCGUGACAUUGGCAUUUUUGACGCAUAUAGGCCAGUUGUUUUGUUGAAUGUCCCUCAAUUUGGGUUUGUCUGAUGCUUCCCCAUGAACAGACUCAGGUUAUGCAUUUUUGGAGGACUACCACAGAAAUUAUACUUGUUCUCAGAGCAGCAUAGCAGGAGAUCUCAAUAAAGCUGGUCGGAGGUGGAGAAAGAGAUGAAAAAAAAAGGCACAGCUUCUGCCUUCAAUAAAUUCUCAGUCUAAUCAGGAAGAAAAACAGGCACUAAGAAGUGAUUAUAAAUUGAAAGUGGAUGAUCCAGCUGUAAGCCACACCCAGCUGUCACUCAACUCUGCUUACCGAAUGCCCCAGCACUAUGAAUACAACUAUUAGUCACCAGAGGUG
Long non-coding RNA from Symphalangus syndactylus (siamang), 563 nucleotides. RefSeq lists it as uncharacterized. The record is from RefSeq and is a predicted model, not a curated record. Lineage: Eukaryota; Metazoa; Chordata; Mammalia; Primates; Hylobatidae.